UACGUAGGCAGCAAGCGUUGUUCGGAAUUACUGGGCGUAAAGAGUGCGUAGGUGGUUGGUCAAGUUUGGUGUGAAAUCUCCCGGCUCAACUGGGAGGGUGCGCCGAAAACUGGCUGGCUAGAGUGUGGGAUAGGGAAGCGGAAUUCCUGGUGUAGCGGUGAAAUGCGUAGAUAUCAGGAGGAACGCCUGCGGUGUAGACGGCUUCCUGGACCAUGACUGACACUGAGGCACGAAAGCGUGGGUAGCAAAC
Molecule: ribosomal RNA, 250 nt
Filed under: uncultured bacterium
Lineage: Bacteria
Description: partial 16S ribosomal RNA
Rfam family: Bacterial small subunit ribosomal RNA
Source: RNAcentral